UUCAUCUCACAUGAUCCAGAGAACUUCAGCUGAGGUUCAGAUCACCUCAAUUCCUCAGCACCAUCAGUGUACCAUCACAGUACCAUCAGUGCACCAUCAGAACACCAUCAGUGCGCGAUCAGAACACCAUCAGUGCAUGAUCAGAGAACCAUCAGUGCACGAUCAGAGUACCAUCAGUGCACCAUCACAGUACCAUCAGUGUACCACCACAUCAGAUGAGAAAGAAACGAGUCUAACCUACUGGCAGAAGUAACCAGAUUUGGGGCACCUUGAUACCUGGCAGGAAACGGAACACAGCCCUAAAACGUCACUGAGUCGCCACAACGAUCUACAGUCAACAACCUUGUCUGUCCUGUCCAGUCCUAAAGACACUUCGACCUUCUCCGUCUGGUUUGUGAGACAAGAGCUGAACAAAACCA
This is a long non-coding RNA of Trichomycterus rosablanca, 419 nucleotides long. RefSeq lists it as uncharacterized. Lineage: Eukaryota; Metazoa; Chordata; Actinopteri; Siluriformes; Trichomycteridae. The transcript is spliced from 3 exons. The record is from RefSeq and is a predicted model, not a curated record.